Non-coding RNA from Petromyzon marinus (sea lamprey), 603 nucleotides. NCBI's taxonomy places the organism in Eukaryota, Metazoa, Chordata, Hyperoartia, Petromyzontiformes, Petromyzontidae. The record is from RefSeq and is a predicted model, not a curated record.
AGGUAGUUAACAUCUCCUAGCCACCGUGGCGCCGCACGUGGACACCACGCGGGGACGCGGGGAGACACGCAGACAGCAUCGGAGGAGACACGAGCAGAGUCUAUCUAGCCGGGCGGUGGUGGCUACUCGCGUGGCGUGGAAUCCGAUGUCGUGGAGAAGAGAGUUUGGCAGGUCACCAAAAAUGACGUGAACCUCCAUCUCCCUUCCCGUGAGCGGGCGUUGAGGAGGUGCCCUUUACCCUGGCUCGCCAGCAAAGUGCAGACUAAUCUCGUCAGCCCCAUCAGUGCGGGAUCGAGCGUUGCUCCCCCGCGCACGCGUGGGCUAUCUCCCGCAUGCGAGCACUCAUUAAUCGGCCAACUUCAAGUCGAAGUUAUUGUAAUUAUUAAAUAAUCUAGAGCAGGAAAUGGCACCUGACAAUCACCUGGCACAUGGGAGGAGACGCCGGCGGAAUCCGGAGAGGAAAUUACGCUUCGCCGACAGCGCCAAGAGAUUUUUGAGCAGCAGCCUGCGUGGAAGACGCCGAUUAAUAACGGAGCUUCCCAGGACUCGAGUUCGCUGACGGUGCUCUACGUAACGCCGAGCCGACCUUGGGGAGGCCCAGGG